UACGAAGGGGGCGAGCGUUGUUCGGAUUUACUGGGCGUAAAGGGCGCGCAGGCGGCUAGAUUUGUCAGGCGUGAAAGCCCCGGGCUCAACCUGGGAACUGCGCUUGGGACGGUUUGGCUAGAGAUCGGGAGAGGAGAGUGGAAUUCCCAGUGUAGAGGUGAAAUGCGUAGAUAUUGGGAAGAACACCGGUGGCGAAGGCGGCUCUCUGGACCGAUACUGACGCUGAGGCGCGAAAGCGUGGGGAGCAAACAGG
This 253-nucleotide ribosomal RNA is filed under the name uncultured bacterium. RNAcentral's name for it is "partial 16S ribosomal RNA". It matches the Rfam family "Bacterial small subunit ribosomal RNA", at positions 524 to 776 of the family's 1533-position model. The record is from RNAcentral.